Molecule: long non-coding RNA, 1290 nt
Filed under: Mus musculus (house mouse)
Lineage: Eukaryota; Metazoa; Chordata; Mammalia; Rodentia; Muridae
Description: long non-coding RNA chr6:22006396-22007686
Source: RNAcentral
UUUUUUUUUUUUUUUUUUUUUUUUGCCUUUGUCUAAGUUUUGGUGAAGACUUUGAAGGUAACCGAGAAAUAUAAUACAUUGGCAAUGUUUUCUUUACUCGCUAUUUUAAUGUAAAUUCAUUGUGUUUUUCAAAUACAAACUCAUUUUUGCCGUGAUUGCUAUAAUGCAAAAUCUUAUUAGACUAUGUUUCUUGACAUAAAUUUAAUUACUUUCCAUUUCAAACAUAUUAAAGAAAAAGAUGUUUACAUAAAUCUAUUCAAAACAUAGUGGUUCUUUUUGCCUUUAUGCCUCAUACUGUCCUUAGGCUGAGAAAACAAAAAGAAAUUUAGCAGACACAAGCAUAUUUCCCUUUGGAUGUAAGGAAGCAGGUAGUGGACAUAGUACAGAAACAAUACUUGCUUAUUAGGAUAAUGGCACUCUGACGUCUAGGGGAGAACUGACUGCUAUUGUUUUGCUAAAUGAUCCCAUCAACCAUCUAAAUACUUAUCCUUACAUCCAUAGGUUACAGCCCCAAGCUCUCAUCAGAGAAACUUCCUAUUUUAUUUGUUUGUUUCAUGACAAGGUUUCUCUGUGUAGGUCUGGCUGUCACCAAACUCUCACUCUGUAGACCAGGCUGGCCUCGAACUCACAGAGAUCCACCAGUCUCUGUACCCUGGGUGCUGGGAUUAAAGGCAUGCAUCACCACAGCUCCUUGAGAAACUUCUUAUUUCAAUACAUAGUGUUUACCAUAGAGCCUCACUACUAGUUAAACUGCAGAGAGCACACUAGCAAGAUUUUAUCGAAAGGACCCAGAUAUAGUUGUCUCUUGUGAGACUAUGCCGGGGCCUAGCAAACACAGAAGUGGAUGCUCACAGUCAGCUAUUGGAUGGAUCACAGGGCUCCCAAUGGAGGAGCUAGAGAAAGUAACCAAGGAGCUAAAGGGAUCUGCACCCUAUAGGUGGAACAACAUUAUGAACUAACCAGUACCCCCCGGAGCUCUUGAUUCUAGCUGCAUAUGUAUCAGAAGAUGGCCUAGUCGGCCAUCACUGAAAAGAGAGGCCCAUUGGACACGCAAACUGUAUAUGCCCCAGUACAGGGGAACGCCAGGGCCAAAAAAAUGGGAAUGGGUGGGUAGGGAAGUGUUGGGGAGGGUAUGGAGGACUUUUGGGAUAGCAUUGGAAAUGUAAUUGAGGAAAAUAUGUAAUAAAAAAUAUUAAGAAAAAAAAGAGAAAAAAAGUAGAACACAUAUCACACAGAAUAUGCUCCUUUAUAUCCCUAUGAUUUUACCUAGCAUAAUGAACACUAGUUUAC